GCUGUAGUCGGUCCCAAGGGUUGGGCUGUUCGCCCAUUAAAGCGGUACGCGAGCUGGGUUCAGAACGUCGUGAGACAGUUCGGUCCCUAUCCGUCGCGGGCGUAGGAAAUUUGAGAGGACCUGUCCUUAGUACGAGAGGACCGGGAUGGACAUACCGCUGGUGUACCAGUUGUUCCGCCAGGAGCACCGCUGGGUAGCUAUGUAUGGACGAGAUAAACGCUGAAAGCAUCUAAGUGUGAAACUCGCCUCGAGAUGAGAUUUCCCAUUUCCUUCGGGAAAGUAAGACCCCUCAGAGAUGAUGAGGUAGAUAGGAUGGAAGUGGAAGUGCCGUGAGGCAUGGAGCGGACCAUUACUAAUCGGUCGAGGACUUAACCAAG
RNAcentral lists this ribosomal RNA (377 nucleotides) under Limosilactobacillus reuteri. Its description in RNAcentral is "bacterial LSU rRNA". It matches the Rfam family "Bacterial large subunit ribosomal RNA", at positions 2552 to 2925 of the family's 2925-position model. Lineage: Bacteria; Bacillati; Bacillota; Bacilli; Lactobacillales; Lactobacillaceae. The record is from RNAcentral.